GGGCUUAUGGUCUAGGGGUAUGAUAUUCGCUUCGCAUUCUCUUCCUGUCGGAAAUUGCAUGUGAAUGGUCCGGGGUUCAAAUCCCCGUGAGUCCA
This is a transfer RNA of 95 nucleotides. It matches the Rfam family "tRNA". Rfam says of the family: Transfer RNA (tRNA) molecules are approximately 80 nucleotides in length. Their secondary structure includes four short double-helical elements and three loops (D, anti-codon, and T loops). Further hydrogen bonds mediate the characteristic L-shaped molecular structure. tRNAs have two regions of fundamental functional importance: the anti-codon, which is responsible for specific mRNA codon recognition, and the 3' end, to which the tRNAs corresponding amino acid is attached (by aminoacyl-tRNA synthetases). tRNAs cope with the degeneracy of the genetic code in two manners: having more than one tRNA (with a specific anti-codon) for a particular amino acid; and 'wobble' base-pairing, i.e. permitting non-standard base-pairing at the 3rd anti-codon position. The record is from Rfam.